This 293-nucleotide ribosomal RNA is filed under the name uncultured bacterium. Its description in RNAcentral is "partial 16S ribosomal RNA". It matches the Rfam family "Bacterial small subunit ribosomal RNA", at positions 28 to 335 of the family's 1533-position model. The record is from RNAcentral.
GACAAACGCUGGCGGCGUGUAUUAGGCAUGCAAGUCGCACGGACCUUCGGGUCAGUGGCGGACGGGUGAGUAACACGUGGGUAACCUGCCUCGCAGUGGGGAAUAACCUCCCGAAAGGGAAGCUAAUACCGCAUACCACUCCCGGUGAGAAUCCGGGCAGUAAAAGUAGUAAUGCGCUGUGAGAGGGGCCCGCGGCCGAUUAGCUUGUUGGUGGGGUAACGGCCUACCAAGGCGACGAUCGGAGCUGGUCUGAGAGGAUGGUCAGCCACACGGGGACUGAGAUACGGCCCCGA